AAAUAAGAAGCAAUUUUGCAUUUAAUUUCGACUUAAAAAGAUGGAUAUAAUUAAUUAUCCCUUAUUUA
This 68-nucleotide transfer RNA is filed under the name Promalactis suzukiella. RNAcentral's name for it is "tRNA-Arg". The record is from RNAcentral. Lineage: Eukaryota; Metazoa; Arthropoda; Insecta; Lepidoptera; Oecophoridae.